UACAGAGGUCUCAAGCGUUGUUCGGAUUCAUUGGGCGUAAAGGGCGCGUAGGCGGCCUGAUAAGUAGGGGGUGAAAUCCUGCGGCUUAACCGCAGGGCUGCCUUCUAAACUGUCAGGCUCGAGCACAGUAGAGGCAGGUGGAAUUCCCGGUGUAGCGGUGGAAUGCGUAGAGAUCGGGAAGAACAUCAGUGGCGAAGGCGGCCUGCUGGGCUGUUGCUGACGCUGAGGCGCGACAGCGUGGGGAGCAAACAGG
RNAcentral lists this ribosomal RNA (253 nucleotides) under uncultured bacterium. Its description in RNAcentral is "partial 16S ribosomal RNA". It matches the Rfam family "Bacterial small subunit ribosomal RNA", at positions 524 to 776 of the family's 1533-position model. The record is from RNAcentral.